This 409-nucleotide ribosomal RNA is filed under the name bacterium. RNAcentral's name for it is "partial 16S ribosomal RNA". It matches the Rfam family "Bacterial small subunit ribosomal RNA", at positions 355 to 776 of the family's 1533-position model. The record is from RNAcentral.
UGGGGAAUAUUGCACAAUGGGCGAAAGCCUGAUGCAGCGACGCCGCGUGAGGGAUGACGGCCUUCGGGUUGUAAACCUCUUUCAGUAGGGACGAAGCGCAAGUGACGGUACCUGCAGAAGAAGCACCGGCUAACUACGUGCCAGCAGCCGCGGUAAUACGUAGGGUGCGAGCGUUGUCCGGAAUUACAGGGCGUAAAGAGCUCGUAGGCGGUUUGUCACGUCGUCUGUGAAAUCCUAGGGCUUAACCCUGGACGUGCAGGCGAUACGGGCUGACUUGAGUACUACAGGGGAGACUGGAAUUUCUGGUGUAGCGGUGGAAUGCACAGAUAUCAGGAAGAACACCGAUGGCGAAGGCAGGUCUCUGGGUAGUAACUGACGCUGAGGAGCGAAAGCAUGGGUAGCGAACAGG